AUACGAAGGGGGCUAGCGUUGUUCGGAAUUACUGGGCGUAAAGCGCGCGUAGGCGGACUGAUCAGUUGGGGGUGAAAUCCCAGGGCUUAACCCUGGAACUGCCUCCAAUACUGUCAGUCUUGAGUUCGGGAGAGGUGAGUGGAAUUCCUAGUGUAGAGGUGAAAUUCGUAGAUAUUAGGAAGAACACCAGUGGCGAAGGCGGCUCACUGGCCCGAUACUGACGCUGAGGCGCGAAGGCGUGGGGAGCAAACAGGAUUAGAAACCCUGGUAGUCC
RNAcentral lists this ribosomal RNA (274 nucleotides) under uncultured bacterium. RNAcentral's name for it is "partial 16S ribosomal RNA". It matches the Rfam family "Bacterial small subunit ribosomal RNA", at positions 523 to 796 of the family's 1533-position model. The record is from RNAcentral.